AAAUUGAAGAGUUUGAUCAUGGCUCAGAUUGAACGCUGGCGGCAGGCCUAACACAUGCAAGUCGAACGGUAACAGGAAACAGCUUGCUGUUUCGCUGACGAGUGGCGGACGGGUGAGUAAUGUCUGGGAAACUGCCUGAUGGAGGGGGAUAACUACUGGAAACGGUAGCUAAUACCGCAUAACGUCGCAAGACCAAAGAGGGGGACCUUCGGGCCUCUUGCCAUCGGAUGUGCCCAGAUGGGAUUAGCUAGUAGGUGGGGUAACGGCUCACCUAGGCGACGAUCCCUAGCUGGUCUGAGAGGAUGACCAGCCACACUGGAACUGAGACACGGUCCAGACUCCUACGGGAGGCAGCAGUGGGGAAUAUUGCACAAUGGGCGCAAGCCUGAUGCAGCCAUGCCGCGUGUAUGAAGAAGGCCUUCGGGUUGUAAAGUACUUUCAGCGGGGAGGAAGGGAG
Molecule: ribosomal RNA, 457 nt
Filed under: Escherichia coli
Lineage: Bacteria; Pseudomonadati; Pseudomonadota; Gammaproteobacteria; Enterobacterales; Enterobacteriaceae
Description: bacterial SSU rRNA
Rfam family: Bacterial small subunit ribosomal RNA
Source: RNAcentral